AUGUACGAGAUGCAGUUCGGCGUGCCCAUGAGCGGCGCCGUCCUGAACAACAUCAACACGCGCCUCGACGCGCGCACCGUGUCCGUCCUCCUCCACCACUCCGGCUCGAAGCUCGUCCUCGUCGACCCGGCGUCGCUCCAGCUCCCCGAGGAUGCGCUCCGGCUCCUGCCGCCGGAGCACUCUGCCCCCCGCGUCGUCGUCGCCGACGACCCCCAUGAGAAGGAGCUCCUUCCCGCCCCCGCGACGGCGUUGACGUACGAGAGGCUGCUUGAGAAAGGCGACCCGGAUUUCGCGUGGGUCCGGCCGGCGAACGAGUGGGAGCCGAUGAUCCUGAACUACACCUCUGGUACGACGUCGGCGCCCAAGGGGGUGUUGCACUGCCACCGCGGCAUCUUCUUGAUAACCCUCGACUCGCUCGUGGACUGGGGGAUGCCGGCGCGGCCGACGUACCUGUGGACGCUGCCCAUGUUCCACGUCAACGGCUGGAGCUUUCCAUGGGGGAUGGCCGUGGUGGGCGGCACCAACGUCUGCCUUCGCCGGGUGGACGCCGCAGAUGUCUACGCCGCCAUCUCUCGCCACGGGGUGACGCACCUGUGCGGCGCGCCGGUCGUGCUCAACAUGCUGGCCAAUGCACCCGAGGCCGUGCGGAAGACGCUGCCCGGCAACGUGGAGAUACUCACGGGCGGCGCACCGCCGCCCGCUGCCGUGCUGCACCGCACCGAGGCCAUCGGCUUCAAAGUCAGGCACGGGUACGGACUAUGCGAGACGGCGGGACUGGCGACGUCGUGCGUCUGGAACGCGGAGUGGGACAAGCUGCCCGCCACGGAGCGCGCACGGUUCAAAGCAAGGCAGGGCGUGCGCACGCCGGCUACAGCCGAGGUGGACGUCGUCGACGAGAAGACCGGCCGCAGCAUGCCCCGUGAUGGCUCCACGGUAGGCGAGGUCGUGAUCCGAGGAGGGUGCGUCAUGCUGGGGUACUUCAACGACGAGGCGGCGACAGGGGCGGCGAUCGGAGACGGCUGGUUCUACACGGGGGACGUCGGGGUGAUGCACCCGGACGGCUACCUGGAGAUACGCGACCGCUCCAAGGACGUGAUCAUAAGCGGCGGGGAGAACAUCAGCAGCGUGGAGGUGGAGUCCGUGCUGUACGGCCAUCCGGCCGAGAACGAGGCGGCCGUGGUGGCGCGCCCCGACGAGUUCUGGGGGGAGACGCCUUGCGCGUUCGUGAGCCUCAAGUGGGGCAAUGGUAGGGGCGAGCUGACGGAGGCCGAGCUCGUGGCGUGGAGCCGGGAGCGCAUGCCGCGCUACAUGGUGCCCAAGACCGUCGUGUUCCGGGACGAGCUGCCCAAGACGUCCACGGGCAAGAUCCAGAAGUACGUGCUCCGGAACAUCGCAAAGGAGAUGGGGCCCACCAGCAGGGGCGUUAGCAGCAAGAUGUAG
Molecule: ribosomal RNA, 1440 nt
Filed under: Triticum aestivum (bread wheat)
Lineage: Eukaryota; Viridiplantae; Streptophyta; Magnoliopsida; Poales; Poaceae
Description: partial small subunit ribosomal RNA
Source: RNAcentral